Molecule: ribosomal RNA, 408 nt
Filed under: uncultured rumen bacterium
Lineage: Bacteria
Description: bacterial SSU rRNA
Rfam family: Bacterial small subunit ribosomal RNA
Source: RNAcentral
CAGCAGCCGCGGUAAUACGUAUGUGGCAAGCGUUAUCCGGAUUUACUGGGUGUAAGGGGAGCGUAGACGGUAAUACAAGUCUGGAGUGAAAGGCAUGGGCUCAACCUGUGGACUGCUCUGGAAACUGUAUAACUAGAGUACCGGAGGGGUAAGCGGAAUUCCUGGUGUAGCGGUGAAAUGCGUAGAUAUCAGGAGGAACACCGGUGGCGAAGGCGGCUUACUGGACGGAAACUGACGUUGAGGCUCGAAAGCGUGGGGAGCAAACAGGAUUAGAUACCCUGGUAGUCCACGCCCUAAACGAUGAAUGCUAGGUGUUGGCAGCUAUGAGCUGUCGGUGCCGCCGCUAACGCAUUAAGCAUUCCACCUGGGGAGUACGUUCGCAAGAAUAAAACUCAAAGAAAUUGACGG